GAUCACUUCUUAUUAUUGUUCUCUCUUUUCUUUCACAAACAGGUUGAGUUUGAAGAACAAGAAAAACAGUAGAGGUCUACCUAUAUGGUUCAAGAUGAUGAUCAUAAGUGCAUGCAUCAUUUGCAGAUUCUCAUCCAGGAUGAUGCAGUUUUACAAUUUCCAUGGAGGUGAUUGAUGAUGAUAAAUAAUUGGUGAAGUAGGCCUAAUAGAACAGCGACUAGACCACAAAGAGAAAUACAACCUACAGCAGUUAUAUGAGACUGGUGUAACAGAUGUUUUCAUUCAAGAAAUCCAACAUGAAUUUGUACGGAACUGCUUAUAUACCCCCACUCAUGAAUUAUUAAACUUAAUGCACAAAGGAUUUCCUUCAUAAGUAUAUUAUCGAAAUGAGAAUAUUGUUUUCUUGUUUCAAAGGGCAAUCGUCAUGGUGACCAUAAAACGGGUCCUUCUCAGGUGAAAGGGGCACAGAACAAGUUCUUUAGGAGCACUUUUCUUGGGUAAAAGGGGGCAGUGAUUCGAGAAAGGGCACUUAUAAAAAGGCGAGGGGGCACUCUUUAACACAUGAAACGGGCCCUCAGAUGAAAGG
Long non-coding RNA from Lytechinus pictus (painted urchin), 586 nucleotides. RefSeq lists it as uncharacterized. The transcript is spliced from 3 exons. The record is from RefSeq and is a predicted model, not a curated record. Lineage: Eukaryota; Metazoa; Echinodermata; Echinoidea; Temnopleuroida; Toxopneustidae.